GUCCGAAUGGCCGAGUGGUUUAGGCAUCCGUCGCGAAAACGGAGGACGCUGGUUCGAAUCCAGCUUUGAACA
This 72-nucleotide transfer RNA is filed under the name Leguminivora glycinivorella. RNAcentral's name for it is "tRNA-Ser". It matches the Rfam family "tRNA". Rfam says of the family: Transfer RNA (tRNA) molecules are approximately 80 nucleotides in length. Lineage: Eukaryota; Metazoa; Arthropoda; Insecta; Lepidoptera; Tortricidae. The record is from RNAcentral.